GAGUUUGAUCAUGGCUCAGAUUGAACGCUGGCGGUAGGCUUAACACAUGCAAGUCGUGCGAGUAAGUAUCUUCGGAUAUGAGUAGAGCGGCGGACGGGUGAGUAACGCGUAGGAAUCUACCUAGUAGAAGGGGAUAGCCCGGGGAAACUCGGAUUAAUACCGUAUACCUCCUUCGGGAGAAAGAAGGCCUCUCUUUGAAGCUUUCGCUAUUAGAUGAGCCUGCGUAAGAUUAGCUUGUUGGUGAGGUAAAGGCUCACCAAGGCGACGAUCUUUAGCGGGUCUGAGAGGACGAUCCGCCACAUUGGGACUGAGACACGGCCCAGACUCCUACGGGAGGCAGCAGUGGGGAAUAUUGGACAAUGGGCGCAAGCCUGAUCCAGCCAUACCGCGUGUGUGAAGAAGGCCCUAGGGUUGUAAAGCACUUUAAGUUGGGAAGAAAAGUUAUUGGUUAAUACCCAAUAACCGUGACAUCACCAUCAGAAUAAGGACCGGCUAAUUCCGUGCCAGCAGCCGCGGUAAUACGGAAGGUCCAAGCGUUAAUCGGAAUUACUGGGCGUAAAGCGCGCGUAGGUGGUUUAUUAAGUUGGAUGUGAAAUCCCCGGGCUCAACCUGGGAACUGCAUCCAAAACUGAUUCACUAGAGUACGAUAGAGGGAGGUAGAAUUCACAGUGUAGCGGUGGAAUGCGUAGAUAUUGUGAAGAAUACCAAUGGCGAAGGCAGCCUCCUGGAUCUGUACUGACACUGAGGUGCGAAAGCGUGGGUAGCGAACAGGAUUAGAUACCCUGGUAGUCCACGCCGUAAACGAUGUCAACUAGCUGUUGGAAAACUAUGUUUUUCAGUGGCGCAGCUAACGUAGUAAGUUGACCGCCUGGGGAGUACGGCCGCAAGGCUAAAACUCAAAUGAAUUGACGGGGACCCGCACAAGCGGUGGAGCAUGUGGUUUAAUUCGAUGCAACGCGAAAAACCUUACCUAUACUUGACAUACUUGGAAUGCUUUGUAAUGAAGCAGUGCCUUCGGGAGCCAAGAUACAGGUGCUGCAUGGCUGUCGUCAGCUCGUGUCGUGAGAUGUUCCGUUAAGUCGGAUAACGAGCGCAACCCUUACCCUUAUUUGCCAGCGAUUCGGUCGGGAACUAUAAGGGGACUGCCGGUGAUAAACCGGAGGAAGGUGAGGACGACGUCAAGUCAUCAUGGCCCUUACGUAUAGGGCUACACACGUGCUACAAUGGAGAAUACAGACGGACGCUAAGCCGCGAGGUGGUGCUAAUCCUAGAAAAUUCUUCGUAGUCCGGAUUGGAGUCUGCAACUCGACUCCAUGAAGUCGGAAUCGCUAGUAAUCGCGAAUCAGCAUGUCGCGGUGAAUACGUUCUCGGGUCUUGUACACACCGCCCGUCAUACCAUGGAAGUGGAUUGCACCAGAAGUAGAUAGUCUAACCUUCGGGAGGGCGUUUACCACGGUGUGCUUCAUGACUGGGGUAAAGUCGUAACAAGGUAACC
RNAcentral lists this ribosomal RNA (1495 nucleotides) under uncultured marine bacterium. RNAcentral's name for it is "bacterial SSU rRNA". It matches the Rfam family "Bacterial small subunit ribosomal RNA". The record is from RNAcentral.